This 545-nucleotide long non-coding RNA is filed under the name Chloebia gouldiae (Gouldian finch). Its description in RNAcentral is "Erythrura gouldiae (Gouldian finch) lncRNA (ENSEGOG00005017683.1)". Lineage: Eukaryota; Metazoa; Chordata; Aves; Passeriformes; Passeridae. The record is from RNAcentral.
GAAAAUUCCAGCAGAGAGCCCCGAGGAGCUCCUGGUGCGGAUCUGCAGCAGCAGGAGGGUGCAGGAUGCUGCCUCCGGCCGGGAGCCUGGCCCCGGAGGGGAUGAGGGAUCCCAGCGGCGCUGGAAGGAGUCGAUCUGCCAGAUCCUGGGGGAAAUCCAGGCCCCGCUCUCCCCUCUGCUGCUGAGGCUGUGCCACUGGCUGCUCCCCAAGCUCCUGACCCGUCUGUUCCUGGGCGUGCAGCUGCACCGGGGGCAGCUGGAGAUGGUGCUGCGAGCUGCCAGGACGCCCGAGGUGCCGCUGGUGUUCCUGUGCAGCCACCAGUCCCCGGUGGAUGGGCUGCUGCUGUCCUUCGUCCUCCUGUCCCAGGGCAUCGGGCUGCCCAGGGUGACCAUGGGCGCCGGGACCAGCCCCCGUCUGCGGUGAGGCAGCACCCUGGGAUGCUCCCAGAGCAUCCAGGGGAUGCAGGGGUUGCCCACGGUGUCCUUCCCUCGCCAGAUCCCUGCUCCAACGCCUGGGAGGGAUUUUCCUGCCUUCAGGAGUGGCG